UUGUUGUGCCGAUAAAGCAAUCUGUGGCAGCUAUCAAUUCCUAUGAAUCCUUUAAUUCUCAAAAAUAACUACCAUAACGCUGCUCCGUAUCUUUCUCCCAGAACUUACAGAACAAUAGUCCUGCUUCACUCUGUUUCCACUGCUUUUUCUCAAACUCUGCAACAUAUUGACACGAUUUUCAAGUCCAUUACUGGGAGUUCCUCUCAUCACCUUAGAUCAUACUUUUCAACUCAACACAAAUUGUCAUCCGUCAAAUACUCUUUUGCGACAAUUUCAACUGCUCGUUUCAUUGUCACUGCCUCCUCUUCACCAUCAUCUCCUUCUACAACAGUUGCCGAAUUCCAGGGUCUCGAGAUUAAAUCUGUUCCUACAAAGCCUAUUGAAGGUCAAAAGACCGGAACUAGUGGUCUACGCAAAAAGGUUAAAGUGUUUAUGCAGGAAAAUUACCUUGCAAAUUGGAUACAGGCAUUGUUUAAUUCUUUGCCACCAGAGGAUUUUAAGAAUGGACUAUUAGUCUUAGGAGGCGAUGGUUGAUAUUUCAAUAAAGAAGCUUCACAGGUAAUCAUUAAAAUUGCUGCGGGUAAUGGUGUUGGUAAAAUAUUGGUUGGCAAGGAUGGUAUAAUGUCCACACCAGCUGUAUCUGCUGUUAUACGGAAGAGAGAGGCAAAUGGUGGCUUUAUAAUGAGUGCAAGCCAUAACCCUGGUGGUCCUGAUUAUGAUUGGGGUAUCAAGUUCAAUUACAGCAGUGGCCAACCAGCACCUGAGUCUAUCACAGACAAGAUCUACGGAAACACCCUUUCUGGUUUUUGCAGAUUUCUGAAAUAAAAAUUGCCGACAUUCCUGAUGUUGAUCUUUCUCAACUUGGAGUCACAAAAUAUGGAAAUUUAGUGUGGAGGUGGUUGACCCUGUCACUGAUUAUUUGGAGCUAAUGGAGGUUUACAUUUGAUGCCAUGCAUGCAGUUACAGGGGCUUAUGCAAAGCCCAUUUUUGUUGACAAACUAGGAGCUAGCCUGGAGUCUAUUGCAAAUGGAGAGCCACCGGAAGAUUUUGUGUCACGACCCAAUUUUUCCUUCCGUUGGGUAUCAUGAUGGCACCUAGUCUUAGGGACUAGGUAAGCCUAACAUUUAUUGAAUAACAACAAUA
Non-coding RNA from Nicotiana tabacum (common tobacco), 1143 nucleotides. NCBI's taxonomy places the organism in Eukaryota, Viridiplantae, Streptophyta, Magnoliopsida, Solanales, Solanaceae. The record is from RefSeq and is a predicted model, not a curated record.